RNAcentral lists this ribosomal RNA (491 nucleotides) under uncultured bacterium. Its description in RNAcentral is "partial 16S ribosomal RNA". It matches the Rfam family "Bacterial small subunit ribosomal RNA", at positions 29 to 506 of the family's 1533-position model. The record is from RNAcentral.
AGUGAACGCUGGCGGUAGGCCUAACACAUGCAAGUCGAACGGCAGCACAGUAAGAGCUUGCUCUUACGGGUGGCGAGUGGCGGACGGGUGAGGAAUACAUCGGAAUCUACUUUUUCGUGGGGGAUAACGUAGGGAAACUUACGCUAAUACCGCAUACGACCUACGGGUGAAAGCAGGGGAUCUUCGGACCUUGCGCGAUUGAAUGAGCCGAUGUCGGAUUAGCUAGUUGGCGGGGUAAAGGCCCACCAAGGCGACGAUCCGUAGCUGGUCUGAGAGGAUGAUCAGCCCCACUGAAACUGAGACACGGUCCAGACCCCAACGGGGGGCAGAAGGGGGGAAUAUGGGAAAAGGGGGGAAAGCCUGACCCAGCCAACCCGGGGGGGUGAAGAAGGCCUGCGGGUUGUAAAGCCUUUUUGUUGGGAAAGAAAAGCAGCAGGUUAAAACCCCGCUUUUCGGCCGGAACCAAAAGAAUAAGCACCGGCAAACUUCGU